UACGUAGGUGACCAGCGUUGUCCGGAUUUACUGGGCGUAAAGAGCGCGCAGGCGGUCGUUCAAGUCGCGUGUGAAAGCCCCCGGCUCAACUGGGGAGGGUCACGCGAUACUGAUCGACUCGAAGGCAGGAGAGGGUAGUGGAAUUCCCGGUGUAGUGGUGAAAUGCGUAGAUAUCGGGAGGAACACCAGUGGCGAAGGCGGCUCACUGGACCGGAACUGACGCUGAGGCGCGAAAGCGUGGGGAGCAAACAGG
This 253-nucleotide ribosomal RNA is filed under the name uncultured bacterium. Its description in RNAcentral is "partial 16S ribosomal RNA". It matches the Rfam family "Bacterial small subunit ribosomal RNA", at positions 524 to 776 of the family's 1533-position model. The record is from RNAcentral.